Molecule: ribosomal RNA, 1359 nt
Filed under: Halorubrum californiense
Lineage: Archaea; Methanobacteriati; Methanobacteriota; Halobacteria; Halobacteriales; Haloferacaceae
Description: bacterial SSU rRNA
Rfam family: Archaeal small subunit ribosomal RNA
Source: RNAcentral
UAGCAUGCUAGUCGCACGAGUUCAGACUCGUGGCGAAUAGCUCAGUAACACGUGGCCAAACUACCCUUCGGAACACAAUACCCUCGGGAAACUGAGGCUAAUAGUGUAUAUCGUACCACCACUGGAAUGAGUGGUACGCCAAACGCUCCGGCGCCGAAGGAUGUGGCUGCGGCCGAUUAGGUAGACGGUGGGGUAACGGCCCACCGUGCCAAUAAUCGGUAUGGGUCAUGAGAGUGAGAACCCAGAGACGGAAUCUGAGACAAGAUUCCGGGCCCUACGGGGCGCAGCAGGCGCGAAACCUUUACACUGCACGACAGUGCGAUAGGGGGAUCCCAAGUGCACAGGCAUAGCGCCUGUGCUUUUCGGCACCCUAAGGCGGUGCCAGAAUAAGGGCUGGGCAAGACCGGUGCCAGCCGCCGCGGUAAUACCGGCAGCCCAAGUGAUGGCCGAUCUUAUUGGGCCUAAAGCGUCCGUAGCUGGCCGCGCAAGUCCAUCGGGAAAUCCACCUGCUCAACAGGUGGGCGCCCGGUAGAAACUGCGUGGCUUGGGACCGGAAGGCGCGACGGGUACGUCCGGGGUAGGAGUGAAAUCCCGUAAUCCUGGACGGACCGCCGAUGGCGAAAGCACGUCGCGAGAACGGAUCCGACAGUGAGGGACGAAAGCCAGGGUCUCGAACCGGAUUAGAUACCCGGGUAGUCCUGGCUGUAAACAAUGUCUGCUAGGUGUGGCUCCCACUACGAGUGGGUGCUGUGCCGUAGGGAAGCCGCUAAGCAGACCGCCUGGGAAGUACGUCCGCAAGGAUGAAACUUAAAGGAAUUGGCGGGGGAGCACUACAACCGGAGGAGCCUGCGGUUUAAUUGGACUCAACGCCGGACAUCUCACCAGCAUCGACUGUGGUAAUGACGAUCAGGUUGAUGACCUUAUCCGAGCCUCAGAGAGGAGGUGCAUGGCCGCCGUCAGCUCGUACCGUGAGGCGUCCUGUUAAGUCAGGCAACGAGCGAGACCCGCACCCUUACUUGCCAGCAGUACCGCGAGGUAGCUGGGGACAGUAGGGGGACCGCCGUGGCUAACACGGAGGAAGGAACGGGCAACGGUAGGUCAGUAUGCCCCGAAUGUGCUGGGCAACACGCGGGCUACAAUGGUCGAGACAAAGGGUUCCUACUCCGAAAGGAGACGGUAAUCUCAGAAACUCGAUCGUAGUUCGGAUUGUGGGCUGCAACUCGCCCACAUGAAGCUGGAUUCGGUAGUAAUCGCGUGUCACAAGCGCGCGGUGAAUACGUCCCUGCUCCUUGCACACACCGCCCGUCAAAGCACCCGAGUGAGGUCCGGAUGAGGCGUUCCACGAAACGUCGAAUUCCU